Molecule: long non-coding RNA, 682 nt
Organism: Patella vulgata (common limpet)
Lineage: Eukaryota; Metazoa; Mollusca; Gastropoda; Patellidae
Exons: 3
Source: RefSeq, a predicted model, not a curated record
UCCAGUCGAUAAAACCAGUCAGUUAGUUCAGUCGAAUAAUCCAGUCGAAUAAACCAGUCGAAUAAUUCAGUCGAAAAGUUCAGUCGAAUAAACCAGUCGAAUAGUUCAGUCGAAUAAUUCAGUCGAAUAAUCCAGUCGAAUAAUUCAGUCGAAUAAACAAGUCGCUCAAUAUUAAGCAGCGGUGGCAGCGGGCUAAGAUAAUAUAGUAGCAAAUCAUGCUCGUAGCCAUAGCUGAAGGAGCCGGGGGCAUGGGGUAGUGACCGGGGGGCUUCCCAACUAGUUUCAAGAAAUGAAAAGAAAUGAAAUGGGGUUUUAACGUCCUACUGUUCUGCUUGGAACUGGGCUAAUGAAGACGGGCAGACGCCAUACACUGUGCGAUGAGGGAAAUUUUGCCCGGACAGCGGCACUACGGCCUACUCUUAUAUCGAAUUCCACCUGUCAAAGGGAUCUUUUACGUUGAGGAAAAGUUUCCAGAGCAAACUGUGCAUGACAUCUUAAAUUUUAGAUACGUAAUAAUUUGUACAAUCUUGCUACAAGGUGAAACUGCCAAGUUUGAAGAAGAAUCGGGAGUUUCAAAAGCUAAAAAAAGAAAAACAGCACCAAUAGACUUAUCCAAACCAUGUACCGAAACCGAUGCUGAGAAAAGCGAUUCUUCAAGUUAUAAUGUAAAAUCUGUUCCAAG